CGUAUGGAACCUACCUAUAACUUGGGAAUAGCCCGGAGAAAUCCGGAUUAAUGUCCAAUGAAACUGAGAGAAGGCAUCUUCUUAUUGUUAAAGAUUUAUCGGUUAUAGAAGGGCAUGCGGUCGAUUAGCUAGUUGGUGAGGUAAUGGCUCACCAAGGCGACGAUCGAUAGGGGACCUGAGAGGGUGAUCCCCCACACUGGUACUGAGAUACGGACCAGACUCCUACGGGAGGCAGCAGUAGGGAAUAUUGGGCAAUGGACGCAAGUCUGACCCGGCCAUGCCGCGUGAAGGAAGAAGGCCUUCUGGGUUGUAAACUUCUUUUGAACGGGAACAAAGAGUCCAUGCGUGGACAGUUGAGUGUACCGUUAGAAUAAGCACCGGCUAACUCCGUGCCAGCAGCCGCGGUAAUACGGAGGGUGCAAGCGUUGUCCGGAUUUAUUGGGUUUAAAGGGUGCGUAGGCGGUCUUUUAAGUCAGUGGUGAAAUCCUCCAGCUCAACUGGAGAACUGCCAUUGAUACUGGAAGACUUGAGUAUAGUUGAGGUAGGCGGAAUUGACAGUGUAGCGGUGAAAUGCAUAGAUAUUGUCAAGAACACCGAUUGC
RNAcentral lists this ribosomal RNA (601 nucleotides) under uncultured bacterium. RNAcentral's name for it is "bacterial SSU rRNA". It matches the Rfam family "Bacterial small subunit ribosomal RNA", at positions 116 to 716 of the family's 1533-position model. The record is from RNAcentral.